CUGAAGUCGGUGUUUGGAGAAAAGGACUCAGGCUUAUCAAAGUUUUGGCUUUGUUGCAAGAGCAGGUCAAGAUUUAGCUGUUCUUCAGUGAACAAGUGUGCAGAUUGUCAAAUAUGUCAGUUCAUCAAAUAAGAAAACAUGCAGUUCUCCCACCUAUCAUUUGUAGAAGUGACAAGGAAUUUUUGGAAAGUGUGCAAAGAUACAUAAUUACAGAAACUGAAAGACUGGGCUGUAGUGAGGAAGGACCUGCUGAUGAAUAUUACAUCAUAUACCGAAAUGUUUUUGAUAAGGUAAUAGAGCAUAUCACUGCAUACAAAUCCAUUCUUACUUCAAUCAAAAAAGAAUAUGAUGCCUUUAUUGAGACAAUAAAGAAAGACCGAAGAACUACAUUUUGUCUUCAUGGAAAACUUAAAGGUUUGGCAGCAGAGCCUACAGCUUUGGUAUAUUACAGGAAAAGAA
RNAcentral lists this long non-coding RNA (459 nucleotides) under Homo sapiens (human). RNAcentral describes it as "HSALNT0031717". Lineage: Eukaryota; Metazoa; Chordata; Mammalia; Primates; Hominidae. The record is from RNAcentral.